RNAcentral lists this ribosomal RNA (171 nucleotides) under uncultured bacterium. Its description in RNAcentral is "partial 16S ribosomal RNA". It matches the Rfam family "Bacterial small subunit ribosomal RNA", at positions 338 to 525 of the family's 1533-position model. The record is from RNAcentral.
UCUACGGGAGGCAGCAGUGGGGAAUUUUGCGCAAUGGGGGUUAGCCCUGACGCAGCAACGCCGCGUGCGGGAUGAAGGCCUUCGGGUUGUAAACCGCUUUCAGCAGGGACGAUCGUGACGGUACCUGCAGAAGAAGCUCCGGCUAACUACGUGCCAGCAGCCGCGGUAAUA